GCGUGGGUGAAGAAGGCCCUCGGGUUGUAAAGCCCUUUCGGCGGGGAAGACAAUGACGGUACCCGCAGAAGAAGCCCCGGCUAACUCCGUGCCAGCAGCCGCGGUAAUACGGAGGGGGCUAGCGUUGUUCGGAAUUACUGGGCGUAAAGCGCGCGCAGGCGGUUGCUCAAGUCGGGCGUGAAAUCCCGGGGCUCAACCCCGGAACUGCGUUCGAGACUGGGCGACUCGAGUCCGGGAGAGGGUAGCGGAAUUCCCAGUGUAGAGGUGAAAUUCGU
RNAcentral lists this ribosomal RNA (275 nucleotides) under uncultured bacterium. Its description in RNAcentral is "partial 16S ribosomal RNA". It matches the Rfam family "Bacterial small subunit ribosomal RNA", at positions 399 to 691 of the family's 1533-position model. The record is from RNAcentral.